Gambusia affinis (western mosquitofish) is the source of this 199-nucleotide small nucleolar RNA. The record is from Ensembl. Lineage: Eukaryota; Metazoa; Chordata; Actinopteri; Cyprinodontiformes; Poeciliidae.
AGCACGCUCCUUAGAUCCACCUCUGGAGGGCGCUGCUCUGUGAGCAGAGCUCCUCAGCAGCUUUCUGGCUGUACAGUUGGAGGUGCUUGAGUCAUUGGCGUGUGAGAGCAGUCCACCUGUUCCCCAGCCCACCUGCUGCACUGGCAACCUGGUCAUCAGACAGGAACUCCCAGUGCAGCUAGUCUGGGGGACGGAUAGU